Molecule: ribosomal RNA, 1157 nt
Filed under: Salmonella enterica
Lineage: Bacteria; Pseudomonadati; Pseudomonadota; Gammaproteobacteria; Enterobacterales; Enterobacteriaceae
Also listed under: 1 other name
Description: partial 23S ribosomal RNA
Rfam family: Bacterial large subunit ribosomal RNA
Source: RNAcentral
AGACCCGAAACCCGGUGAUCUAGCCAUGGGCAGGUUGAAGGUUGGGUAACACUAACUGGAGGACCGAACCGACUAAUGUUGAAAAAUUAGCGGAUGACCUGUGGCUGGGGGUGAAAGGCCAAUCAAACCGGGAGAUAGCUGGUUCUCCCCGAAAGCUAUUUAGGUAGCGCCUCGUGAAUUCAUCUCCGGGGGUAGAGCACUGUUUCGGCUAGGGGGCCAUCCCGGCUUACCAACCCGAUGCAAACUGCGAAUACCGGAGAAUGUUAUCACGGGAGACACACGGCGGGUGCUAACGUCCGUCGUGAAGAGGGAAACAACCCAGACCGCCAGCUAAGGUCCCAAAGUCAUGGUUAAGUGGGAAACGAUGUGGGAAGGCCCAGACAGCCAGGAUGUUGGCUUAGAAGCAGCCAUCAUUUAAAGAAAGCGUAAUAGCUCACUGGUCGAGUCGGCCUGCGCGGAAGAUGUAACGGGGCUAAACCAUGCACCGAAGCUGCGGCAGCGAACGUAUCACCCAAGACAACUUUACGGAGUUGACGAUUGACGGAGCGAAGCGACGUCAAAGCGUUCAUUAAAGUCGAGUUGGCUUAGGGAUACGUUCGUUGGGUAGGGGAGCGUUCUGUAAGCCUGUGAAGGUGUGUCGUGAGGCAUGCUGGAGGUAUCAGAAGUGCGAAUGCUGACAUAAGUAACGAUAAAGCGGGUGAAAAGCCCGCUCGCCGGAAGACCAAGGGUUCCUGUCCAACGUUAAUCGGGGCAGGGUGAGUCGACCCCUAAGGCGAGGCCGAAAGGCGUAGUCGAUGGGAAACGGGUUAAUAUUCCCGUACUUGGUGUUACUGCGAAGGGGGGACGGAGAAGGCUAUGUUGGCCGGGCGACGGUUGUCCCGGUUUAAGCGUGUAGGUGUGUGUUCCAGGUAAAUCCGGUUCACUUUAACACUGAGGCGUGACGACGAGGCACUACGGUGCUGAAGCAACAAAUGCCCUGCUUCCAGGAAAAGCCUCUAAGCAUCAGGUAACACGAAAUCGUACCCCAAACCGACACAGGUGGUCAGGUAGAGAAUACCAAGGCGCUUGAGAGAACUCGGGUGAAGGAACUAGGCAAAAUGGUGCCGUAACUUCGGGAGAAGGCACGCUGACACGUAGGUGAAGUGAUUUACUCAUGG